This 87-nucleotide transfer RNA is filed under the name Phrynosoma platyrhinos (Desert horned lizard). Its description in RNAcentral is "tRNA-OTHER". The record is from RNAcentral. Lineage: Eukaryota; Metazoa; Chordata; Lepidosauria; Squamata; Phrynosomatidae.
GCCCUGGUGGCACAGUGGUUAAAUGCCUAUACUGCAGCUACUCACUCACAAACCAUAAGAUUGUGGGUUCAAUACCAGCCAGGGGCU